This 226-nucleotide ribosomal RNA is filed under the name uncultured bacterium. RNAcentral's name for it is "partial 16S ribosomal RNA". It matches the Rfam family "Bacterial small subunit ribosomal RNA", at positions 54 to 282 of the family's 1533-position model. The record is from RNAcentral.
CAUGCAAGUCGAGCGGGGGAAGGUAGCUUGCUACUGGACCUAGCGGCGGACGGGUGAGUAAUACUUAGGAAUCUGCCUAUUAGUGGGGGACAACGUUCCGAAAGGAGCGCUAAUACCGCAUACGCCCUACGGGGGAAAGCAGGGGAUCUUCGGACCUUGCGCUAAUAGAUGAGCCUAAGUCGGAUUAGCUAGUUGGUGGGGUAAAGGCCUACCAAGGCGACGAUCU